ACUUGGAAACUGAUGAUUGCCCCUUUAAUUCCCGCUGAAAUUCAAAACGAAGCCUGAGAAUUGGGAAAUCUCUCAAACUCCGUAACAAGGCUUCAAAAUGCUUCAUCGUACCAAAACUCUCUCCGAAAAUAUUUCCAAACUAAACCUUAGCCAACAUUUUCUCCGUCAACAUUGUCGUACGAAGUCGACUCGCCGUUUCAACAACGCCAAAGAUGAAGAUGAAGAUUAUCACAGAGUUCGAAGAAAAACUGAAAAUCAAGAAGCACAAAUUUAUUUGCUGAAAAGCAGAGGUCAACAUCUGCUCAUGAAUCCCCGAGUUCUUAACUCCAUUGUCCAAAAAUCCAACAUACUUCCUACUGAUACUGUUCUAGAAAUUGGACCCGGCACCGGAAAUCUCACCCUGAAACUUCUAGAAGUUGCCGAAAAGGUUAUAGCCAUUGAAAUUGACAAACGUAUGGUAGAGAUUCUUCACAAGCGUGUCUCUGAGCGAGGGCUUCAGGACCGCUUAACUGUUUUUUGUCAAGAUGCUUUAAGGACUGAGUUUCCAAAGUUUGAUCUUAUGGUAGCCAACAUCCCUUAUGGAAUAUCCUCCCCUCUGGUCGCUAAAUUGGUUUUUGGGAAGAACUCAUAUAGGGGUGGGACAUUACUGCUGCAGAAAGAGUUUGCAAGGAGGCUAUUGGCAAAUCCAGGGGAUUCGGAGUUUAAUAGAUUAGCUGUGAACGUGAGGCUGGUGGCUGAUGUAGAGUUUGUCAUGAAUGUGAGCAAGAAGGACUUUUUGCCAUGUCCUAAAGUUGAUUCUUCUGUUGUGAAGAUACAUCCUAAAGCUGAAAUCCCAGAGGUUGACUAUGAAGAAUGGUGUGCGUUUACAAGAACUUGCUUCACCAAGAAAAAUAAAACAUUGGGUGCGAUCUUUAAGCAGAAAAGAAUGUUGCUGGAGUUAAUGAAGCUGCAAGAAAUCAAAGGGGAUGAAGUGAAUAACACAAUUUACAGUGAUUAUCAUGUUAAUGAUACAGAAGAUGAAGAUGGGUUGAGCAAUGAAGAUAAUGCUAAUUUCUCUUCUGAUGUCGGAAUGGACCUGAACUUGUUUAGAGAGAAAGUCAUUGACAUUCUACGAUCUGGUGGAUUCGAAGAUAAGAGGCCUUCAAAGCUCUCCCAUGAGGAGCUACUGAACUUACUUUCUUUAUUCAAUCGAGCUAGGUUGCACUUUCACGGUCAAGUAAAACCAACAAAUAGAAAGGAUGCAGAACUUGCUUCUGCAUUUGGUCCAUUAUAAUGCCUAAAUACUCACGAUCCAUGCUGUAUUGUCUUUGACCUCAUUUAAGUAAAUGGCUAUUUAAUCAAAUUUGUUGAUCAAGCCAUAGCUGCAGAUGAUCAAAUCUUUUACAAGAAUUUUGCAGAAGAAUUUUGUGCUCAAACAGGUCAUAUUUUAGAAGGUGAUAGGAUUGAUCUGUUCUUCUAAGUCAUUUCAUGCACUGUAUUCUAGGCAGAAACUUUAUGUCUCCUGGAUUAAAUUCGACGGUGGAAUGUCAAUGGACCUCAUAAGAUGCUGUUGUUUUUGAAUUAUCAUUACCAUUUAGCAAAUGGAUGGAUUCGAUUGGAGCCCAUAAGAGUGGUCCAUUACGCCAAAUGGGCUUCGAAGCCUUGAGACAAUUGUCCGACCUGAUUCUGAAACACUUCUUUCAGGGAUGAGAGUAUCUGGUUGUUCGGCUGGUAUUUGGCACCCUUCAUCCUGACCUAUCAUGAAUUUCUCUCUUCAAUUGCUUACAGCUUGACUGACAGUUGGUAACUGAAAGGGGAUGGGCCAGCAACAAGCCUCGCCUGAAAAGAACCUGCUCGAGACCCCCAGGUUAUUUCGGAAUUUUCAGGCAGAGAUAACUCCCUGCCCCAGUUGGGCAGCAUUUUGGUAUUGCCACCUCUUAUUAUUGCGCAUGUGCUCUCAUAUGGACUUUGUGGGUUUUCAAUCUUGGCAAAGUACUCUGAGAUAUUAGGAUGUCUAUGGUGUAAGCAACCUGGACUGGUUCUCAAGUCAGAGAUAUCAAGAAUCCAAAAAUCUAAGCAAGGGAUUACAACUUCCCCAUCUCAUUUGCGAUUAUAAAAAAAAUCAACAUCUCAAUGGGACAACAUUUUUUACUUUAGGUGGAAAAAUGGUGGAAUCGAGUCAACUGUAAGAGGAUAGCAAACCUCUAUUGGUUUCUACCCGUGGUUAUUUUUCAGAGACUUUCUCCUGGUGGUUCUGCAAAAGGAAAAGCGCUACUGAACGGUGAUUAGGACAGUGAUCUGCACAAAUGCAGGAAACAAAUUACUCCUUCCGUUUCAAUUUAUGUGAACCUAUUUCCUUUUUAGUCCGUGCUAAAAAGAAUGACCUGUUUCCCUAUUUGGAAAUCAUUUACCUUUAUGCAAUGAUUUAUAACCACACAAAAUAUAUGUGUCUCCUUUUACACCACAAGUUCAAAAGU
RNA transcript from Nicotiana tabacum (common tobacco), 2456 nucleotides. It is a transcript of the gene named ribosomal RNA small subunit methyltransferase, mitochondrial-like, with no coding region annotated. The record is from RefSeq and is a predicted model, not a curated record. NCBI's taxonomy places the organism in Eukaryota, Viridiplantae, Streptophyta, Magnoliopsida, Solanales, Solanaceae.